Molecule: ribosomal RNA, 447 nt
Filed under: uncultured Allobrachymonas sp.
Lineage: Bacteria; Pseudomonadati; Pseudomonadota; Betaproteobacteria; Burkholderiales; Comamonadaceae
Description: bacterial SSU rRNA
Rfam family: Bacterial small subunit ribosomal RNA
Source: RNAcentral
GCGGUGAUGAUGUGGUUUAAUUCGAUGCAACGCGAAAACCUUACCCACCUUUGACAUGGCAGGAAUCCUGAAGAGAUUUGGGAGUGCUCGAAAGAGAACCUGCACACAGGUGCUGCAUGGCUGUCGUCAGCUCGUGUCGUGAGAUGUUGGGUUAAGUCCCGCAACGAGCGCAACCCUUGCCAUUAGUUGCUACGAAAGGGCACUCUAAUGGGACUGCCGGUGACAAACCGGAGGAAGGUGGGGAUGACGUCAAGUCCUCAUGGCCCUUAUAGGUGGGGCUACACACGUCAUACAAUGGCCGGUACAGAGGGUAGCCAACCCGCGAGGGGGAGCCAAUCCCACAAAGCCGGUCGUAGUCCGGAUUGCAGUCUGCAACUCGGCUGCGUGAAGUCGGAAUCGCUAGUAAUCGCGGAUCAGCAUGUCGCGGUGAAUACGUUCCCGGGUCUU